Molecule: ribosomal RNA, 267 nt
Filed under: Pseudomonas sp. GW460-4
Lineage: Bacteria; Pseudomonadati; Pseudomonadota; Gammaproteobacteria; Pseudomonadales; Pseudomonadaceae
Description: partial 23S ribosomal RNA
Rfam family: Bacterial large subunit ribosomal RNA
Source: RNAcentral
GUGUGGUGAUGGCGUGCCUUUUGAAGAAUGAGCCUGCGAGUUAGUGAUGCGUGGCGAGGUUAACCCGUGGUGGGGGAGUCGUAGCGAAAGCGAGUCCGAUAAGGGCGUGAGUCGCGUGUUCUAGACCCGAAGCGGUGUGAUCUAUCCAUGGCCAGGAUGAAGCGUCGGUAAGACGUCGUGGAGGUCCGAACCCACUUCAGUUGAAAAUGGAGGGGAUGAGUUGUGGAUAGGGGUGAAAGGCCAAUCAAACACCGUGAUAGCUGGUUC